UUACUAGAGUAGCACUCGCAUAUCAAUAAGCGGAGGAAAAGAAACUAACAAGGAUUCCCCUAGUAACGGCGAGUGAAGCGGGAAGAGCUCAAAUUUGAAAUCUUAAAGGGUUCCCCUUUACGAAUUGUAGUUUAAAGAAGUGUUUUCUGUUGAGGUUUUGGUAAAAGUUCUUUGGAAUAGGACAUCAUAGAGGGUGAGAAUCCCGUAUUUGACCUUUACUUUCAACUUUGUGAUACACUUUCAAAGAGUCGGAUUGUUUGGGAAUGCAGUCCAAAAUGGGUGGUAAAUUUCAUCUAAAGCUAAAUAUUGGCGAGAGACCGAUAGCGAACAAGUACCGUGAGGGAAAGAUGAAAAGAACUUUGAAAAGAGAGUUAAACAGUACGUGAAAUUGUCAAAAGGGAAGCGUUUGACACCAGUGUUGUUUUUCUGAAAAUCAAUUAAAGAACUGUUUAUGCUAAGUUGUUUAGACUUUAUCAGCUAACUGUUUAGUUUUGAGCUUUUCUUUAAUGCACUUUUCAGAUUAACAAGUCAACAGCAAUUUCUUUUGCUGUAAAAAAGCUUGAGGAAGGUGGCUUGAGAUUCGUCUUAAGUGUUUAUAGCCUCUUGCCUAUGCAGUCGGAGAGAUUGAGGUCUGCAGCGUAGAUCCUUCGGGGCUAAAUGCAUUUGUGCUAAGUUAUAGCAUUUUAUAGACAACUUGUUGACUAUGAUUUGUCUUGUAGCUUACUCGCUUAUGUUAUUUUACCUACGCUUAGGAUGUUGAUAUCGCGCUCUCACUG
RNAcentral lists this ribosomal RNA (776 nucleotides) under uncultured Neocallimastigales. RNAcentral's name for it is "partial large subunit ribosomal RNA". It matches the Rfam family "Eukaryotic large subunit ribosomal RNA", at positions 1 to 621 of the family's 3401-position model. The record is from RNAcentral. Lineage: Eukaryota; Fungi; Neocallimastigomycota; Neocallimastigomycetes; Neocallimastigales.